GCUCCAGUGGCGCAAUCGGUCAGCGCACGGUACUUAUAGGACAGUACAUGGAGCGAUGCCGAGGUUGUGAGUUCGAGCCUCACCUGGAGCA
Molecule: non-coding RNA, 91 nt
Organism: Columba livia (rock pigeon)
Lineage: Eukaryota; Metazoa; Chordata; Aves; Columbiformes; Columbidae
Source: Rfam